GGGGAUGUUUUUGGAUUCGUCAAGAUAAUGGUGGUCUAAUUAGCAUGCCUUGGUAGUGCAAGUAAAAACACUCGAGGUUAAUAAUAACCGGAAACCAAAAUUUUGCAUUCGCUGCUUAAGAAAAAGCUGCGAGCCUAAACUAGAAACACUUACGGUCUAGGGCGGGUACAUAUAGUAAGUUAUAUUUAUAGUUCUGCCGUCUUAAGGCUAUAAAUGAAUUAAUAAGACUAGCUUUUUUAUAAUGUGCUCUUCCAAUAUUUAAAAGUGAAAUCAAACCGAAGAGACAAGCAUGUAGAAUGUUAGAUGCAUUGCUGUUUUGCACAGGGGUUCAAAUCCCCUCAUCUCCACCA
Molecule: transfer-messenger RNA, 350 nt
Filed under: Acholeplasmatales
Lineage: Bacteria; Bacillati; Mycoplasmatota; Mollicutes
Also listed under: 1 other name
Description: UBA5453 sp012522345 Standard tmRNA
Rfam family: transfer-messenger RNA
About the family: Bacterial tmRNA, also known as 10Sa RNA or SsrA, is named for its dual tRNA and mRNA-like properties. Its role is to liberate the mRNA from a stalled ribosome.
Source: RNAcentral